This is a long non-coding RNA of Cyanistes caeruleus (blue tit), 1046 nucleotides long. RefSeq lists it as uncharacterized. Lineage: Eukaryota; Metazoa; Chordata; Aves; Passeriformes; Paridae. The record is from RefSeq and is a predicted model, not a curated record.
GUGCUCUGCUGAGCACUCUGUCAGGUCUGUGACAGUCAACAGCAAAUAAGGAUCUGCAAUGCAGAGCACAAGUUGUCAUUAUCAACUGAGACAUUCCAUCUAAAACCAGAUGGAGAGAGAUGCCACUCCUUGUUUUACAAAAUGCACAUUGAGAAGAGCUGGGUUCUAGUCACGCCCUCAAAAGAUGGAAGCACAGACCAAGUUAUGUAACCUCUCCAGGCUACUUCUGUCCUGAACUGCAGCGGUCUCUGAGAGGAAUUGACUGGGGCUGGGAGCUAACCUUUUCCUGGAGACCUACGAGUAGGACAACCUUGCUGUCUGAGCAGCUGAGCAUCUGAAGGACAGCAAGGAGCAUUCCCACAACUGGGAAGAGCAGGGAGAACACGAAGAGCAAGGCCUUGCAAAAGGCCCAAGAAAAGCCUGCUGAAGGAGUCAGAGCACUACUUCUGCAGAUUGCCAAAGUCAACAUACUGAAACUGAGUCUAGAGGACAUCACUGAUGUGCCUACAUGUAGGGGGUUUGUAAGGAUGUUCAAUUCUAUCUUGCCUCUGGCAAUUUGAAUUUUAUCUGUCCUAAAAUGCUGGUGAUCAUCUGCCCUAAUGUAACCAUUCCCAGUGUUUAAAGACAACAAAUAAAAAAUAUGUGUAAAUACAGCUCCUAAUUUUAUAAGACCUUUUGGGCUUAUACAUGUGCUUGCAGUUUUAUCACAAAACUUUUAAAACUUCUAGUUGUGAAAAUAAUUUUAAAAUCUUGUUAGGAGCUUGAAACUGAUGGAAGAUUAAAAGUUAUGGUACUAAAUUAUAAUGAAAAUCCAAAUAUAUACUUUCAAAGAGAAAUAUGUUUAGCAUUUGCUGCCAUUACUUUCAGCAUUAAGUUUUGGUAUGAAGAGCCUCUGAUGUUGCCAAGUUUUUAUAGACAACCUGCUGUUUGCAAACCAAAGCAAGAAAUGUCCCAUUUCCUGACCUUUGCCUUUGUUUUUAGUUCUCACACACAAAAUAUUUGGUUUGUGAGAGAAAUUUUUAAUAUUCACUAUCAGGCUUAGAUUC